CCCUUAGAUGUUCUGGGCUGCACGCGCGCUACACUGACGAAGGCAACGAGCUUUCCUUUACCGAAAGGUACGGGUAAUCUUUUGAAACUUCGUCGUGCUGGGGAUAGAUCCUUGCAAUUAUUGAUCUUAAACGAGGAAUUCCUAGUAAGCGCAAGUCAUCAACUUGCGUUGAUUACGUCCCUGCCCUUUGUACACACCGCCCGUCGCUACUACCGAUUGAAUGGUUUAGUGAGGCCUUCGGAUCCGCGACUCGUUUUGUGGAGAAGUUGGACAAACUCAGUCAUUUAGAGGAAGUAAAAGUCGUAACA
RNAcentral lists this ribosomal RNA (308 nucleotides) under uncultured eukaryote. RNAcentral's name for it is "partial 18S ribosomal RNA". It matches the Rfam family "Eukaryotic small subunit ribosomal RNA", at positions 1470 to 1796 of the family's 1831-position model. The record is from RNAcentral.